This 513-nucleotide ribosomal RNA is filed under the name uncultured bacterium. RNAcentral's name for it is "partial 16S ribosomal RNA". It matches the Rfam family "Bacterial small subunit ribosomal RNA", at positions 28 to 523 of the family's 1533-position model. The record is from RNAcentral.
GAUGAACGCUGGCGGCGUGCCUAAUACAUGCAAGUCGAGCGAACGGAUAAGGAGCUUGCUCCUUUGAAGUUAGCGGCGGACGGGUGAGUAACACGUGAGUAACCUACCUAUAAGACUGGAAUAACUUCGGGAAACCGGAGCUAAUGCCGGAUAACAUUUGGAACUGCAUGGUUCUAAAGUAAAAGAUGGUUUUGCUAUCACUUAUAGAUGGACCCGCGCCGUAUUAGCUAGUUGGUAAGGAUACGGCUUACCAAGGCAACGAUACGUAGCCGACCUGAGAGGGUGAUCGGCCACACUGGAACUGAGACACGGUCCAGACUCCUACGGGAGGCAGCAGUAGGGAAUCUUCCGCAAUGGACGAAAGUCUGACGGAGCAACGCCGCGUGAGUGAUGAAGGUUUUCGGAUCGUAAAACUCUGUUAUUAGGGAAGAACAAAUGUGUAAGUAACUGUGCACAUCGUGACGGUACCUAAUCAGAAAGCCACGGCUAACUACGUGCCAGCCGCCGCCGUAA